UUAGAGUUUGAUCAUGGCUCAGAUUGAACGCUGGCGGCAGGCCUAACACAUGCAAGUCGAGCGGAAACGAGUUAUCUGAACCUUCGGGGGACGAUAACGGCGUCGAGCGGCGGACGGGUGAGUAAUGCCUAGGAAAUUGCCCUGAUGUGGGGGAUAACCCUUGGAAACGAUGGCUAAUACCGCAUAAUACCUUCGGGUCAAAGAGGGGGACCUUCGGGCCUCUCGCGUCAGGAUAUGCCUAGGUGGGAUUAGCUAGUUGGUGAGGUAAUGGCUCACCAAGGCGACGAUCCCUAGCUGGUCUGAGAGGAUGAUC
RNAcentral lists this ribosomal RNA (313 nucleotides) under bacterium B3(2012). RNAcentral's name for it is "bacterial SSU rRNA". It matches the Rfam family "Bacterial small subunit ribosomal RNA", at positions 1 to 305 of the family's 1533-position model. The record is from RNAcentral.